CUGCCUCUCGGCCCGGCCGCCCAGAGCUCGCCAUUGGGCCUCACUCCUGGGGUCCCGCGCGCCGACCAUGCUGAUUGGCCGCUGGGGCUUCAUUCACAGCCCCCCUACCUUCCGCGUAUACGCUCACGCCCCGGGGGCGCGGCCGCCACGUGGGGAGUGGCGCGGGGGUGGCACUGGGACCGCACCCCCUCUCGUCCUGGCUGCGUGGGCCCCACUUUCCCCCGGCGCUGGAGACUCCGAGCCCAGCGGGUCCCACGCUCCAAGCUAGCAGAAUUCUCGCCGGUCACCCGCCCCUGUGGCCAGAGGCGGUGGCGGGGAUGGCGGGCUCCGGGAGGCGCUCGGGUUCCGAGAAGCAGCUCAGCCCCGCGCUCCUCCUUCCGCCGUGCCGCUGCCGGCGGGCCGGGAUUCCCGCGGGUCUCGGCGGCUGCGAGCGGCAGGCGGCGCGGGUCCCCGGCUCGGUUGCGGCGCGGCUGCUCACCUCGCCCGCCUCGCCUCCCGCGACUUCCAGCGGGCACGGAGCUCUCCUCUGCGCUCCUCCCUGGCCCGUCUCGUUUUCCCUCUUCACCCUCUAGUACGCCCAGCGCAACUCCGUCGACCUCCGCCGCCCUGAGAGACCGUCGGGCGCGGGCAGAGUCGGACUGGCCCCGACUUCACGCCUCUCACGGGCUCUCCUCCCGGGCGCCGCGGCCCAGGUGAGUACCUCGCGGGUGGCUCGGGGCCGGAACGGCCGGCGGCAGCGAUGCUGUGGGGAGACGGGAGCUCCUGUAACCAGGCCGAUUCCAAGGUUCCUGAGUGAGAGGAUCUCGAGGUGGAGACCGUGGCUCCGGGAAAGCACCGCCGACAGGAAUGGUGGACACACUGGGCCCACGGGUAUCUGACCCACGCCGCCGCCUCGCUCCUUCUCCUUCCUGCCUGCCCGGCUCAUUGGCCUGGGUCAUGGCGGGGUCACGCCCCGGGGAAACUUGCUCUAGGUGAGGAGUGGCGUGGACAUGGGGAAGGGCGCUGGUGCCUCAGAAAUCCGGCGUGCAGGCUGGGAGCUGUCCAGCCUUGCAGGGAGCCCUGGGCUGGAGUUUAACCCACUUGCCUGGGGCUGCUGAAAAGGGAACUGGGACUGAAGAGGUCUUGUUGGAAAGGUGCGGCAUGCAGUGGCUUACCUACUCAUCCCCCAGGUCUUUGAGGACUCCCCGAAGGAUCCUGAGUGGACUUGGGCCCCAGCAUCAGCUCUUCUGUGCCAUGCUGGCUGGAGGAUGAGUGGAAUGAGCUGUAGCCUCCACGUCUUCCCCACGCUGAGGCUUGGCUCUCGGGGAGUCUUCCAGCUGCCAGUUCACCUCUUUUCUAUCCCUGAUCUUGCCUCCAAUGGAUUCAUAGAUUCCAGAGCCCCGGGGGUCCCAGAUUGGAGGACCGAGCUGGGGGCCCAGCUAGGGCCCUACUGGCAAGUCAGGACUGUGGAAUAAAGCCUCAGUAUGUGAAGAAGGGUGAUGGGGGGGCUCAGGGGGCAGCCGCAGCGGGGGUGACUGGGGCAGAGUCGACAGUGACAAGGGUCAUCCUUGGGCACAGACUGUGCUCAUCCAGGCCCUAAACGCCCUAGGACCAGCCUCUGGCUAACCCCCAAGGGAUGGGGUGGCCACUGGCCGCUGUCCUGAGCAGAGUCCUUAGGUACCACUCCCACUGCAAGAGCUGUGAUGGAGCCCUGUGUCUGAACCUAGCUAGGGAUCCUGGGCUUUCCUGGACUCUGGCCCAGGAAGUGGUCACCUUGAGGCAGCCCAGGACUUCCUGGUCCACUCGCCUUCCUGGUCUCUCUCCCAGGCUCAGGAGGUAGGACCACGGCUGGGAAUCCUGUAGUGAAGUCCCCUCUCACGCCAGCCCUAACCAGACCUGCGUGACAUUGAAGCUUGGGCUUCCAACCUGGACCUGCUACUGUCUUCCUGGGCAAGAAUAACUCUGGCCCAGUCUUCUAGGGCUUGGUUCUUCUACCUGUAAAUUGGGAAUAACAGUACCAUAAGUAGCACACCUGUCUCACUAAGAGUGUCAAGGGUCCUGGCUUCCAUCUUGACUCAGACUCAGGCCUGCUGGAUGAUACUGGACCAGUCUCAGCCUCCUGACCUCUGUGAGCCUCAGUGUUCUCAUCUGUAAGCUGGGCAGGAUGGUCUCUGCUGGGUUCUUGUGAAGGCGGGAUGAGAUCACUGCCCCGAUGGAAACUCGGAAAGGGGAAGCAUGGCUUGGUUUUCCUCCCUGGCUGCUAGGGGUGAGUAAGAGGCUGUGUGAGUAGGAACAGAACCUGCCUGUUCCCCCAACCAGUUCUUGCUGAGCGGUGUCAGGAGUGACCACGCCCAUAACCUGCUUGUUCCGGGCUGGAACGUGUUUUUGACUGGAAGAGUCUGUCAGGGUCCUGGCUGCUGCAGAUUCCAGCCUGGGUAGGCGCAUCCACUCCCUCUGUGCAGGUUGGUACCAGCUAGACAGAUUCAUAGCGCUCACCACCAUCCAGAGAGCUCUCCCACAAGGGAUGUGAUCACUAUUCUGAGCUCUCAGUCCCCCCCACCUCUCUCCCUCUAAGCUCAGCCAUUCUAGGUGUCCUACCUCUUUUGUCCUUCCAGUGCUCAAAAGAGCCUAGCAUAGAAGAGCAGAGAGGUAGGAGAGGCAUGGCUGCCUUUGGCAGAGGAGAAAGAAGCAGUCUCAUUUAAUUUAAGGUUCUCUAUCUCUCAGACUUGGGGAAGGGAAGGAAGGAUGAAAGGUGGAAUAUCUCUUAGGGAUGAACCUUCCCUUGUAUUUUUGCGCCUGCCUCGGCCCCCUAGGUCUAUGUGUGGUGUGGGGAUCCUCCCAGUGCAUCAGUAGAAUAUUCAGAUUAGGGGUGGUCAAUUGCUCUUGAAAUUUACUUUCAUUUUUAGCAGAAUGGCAGCCUCUGAGCUGGUGCUAAUGCCCACGAUCCGGUUAUGCAGAACACGCUCUCUGCAAAUCGGUAAAUCAUUAGCGGGGAUUAAUCACUCUGAAAGGCUGGGGCUGGGUUUGAGUUUCUCUCUCUCUCUUUUUUUUUAAACACACUUUUUAUCUGGAUGGCUGCAAAAUUCAACACCACAGGGUGGGGUGGGAGCAGCAGUGAUGAUUUAAGUUCUUGUCACCAUUGUUAGACGAGGGAGGUGCCUUCCUGGGCCUGGUGUUGACUCUGGCCCGACCGAGGGUGGGGGGUAGACAGCUCAGGUAGGGGGGAAGGGAGGGAGGGGGGUUCCCUUGUGUUUGUGUGCAUCAGUGUUUUCAAUAGUGUGUUGGGGGCUUGGUGUGCUUGUAGCUUGCUUGCGUGAAUUCCUGUUCGUACUUUACAGAUGCCCAGAAGGAUUUCAGCGCUUGUGUUUGGGUGCUUGUGCUUGGUUAAUAUGUGUGCAUUAGUGUUUGUAAUCGUAUCAGACAGUGCUUCCCUUUAAGAGUGGUUUUAAAGACCACACCUCACCUUCCUCAGCCUCCAGGAAGCUCUGGAGGGGGAGUAGGCAGAGCUGGAGGGAGGUCCCAACUUCACCUGUGGGCGGGGGCAUGGCUCAUGGAUUAUUUACAUAUUCAUGAGCUGCUGUCUCUUGGAACUCCCCUCUGGAAGAGACUAGCCUGAGGCCCCUUAUGGCAGAUGGGGAGAUGGGGAGGCCAGGCUCUCACGGUAACGCCUCUCACUCUGCCACCCCAGGUCUAGUGGCUGUCCCUCCUCCACCCAUGGACCGGGAAAACCCAGGGUUCUGAACCCCAACUUCUGCAAAGCUGCAGUACACACAACUCUAGUUUCUGAUGGGAGCUGUGUGGCGGUGAUGGGAAAGCUCUUUUUCCUUUCUGGUCCAUGACGUCCCUAUGGCGGCUCUUGGGGAAAGAAGGUCAUUCUUCCAGCUAGGACCAAGCUGAUGAAUGGGAUUCACUCCCACUUAAUGUCCACACCAGGCCGGCCUCCCAAUCCCGUCUUUCUCCCUAGUUUAGUGCAGCCCAGCUUUGGAGCAACAAUUAUUUUCAAAUGACCCAGUAAUGACAUUCCUGGGGUAUUGGUCAAGGUACAUGAGUAUGCAGAUGAGGUCACAGGACUUCUCCCCUCCAGUUCCAGAGGGUGGGGUUUGAGGUAAGACUAAGUGGGCCUGGUCUUUGCAUCAGCUUUGAUCCCCCUAGUCCCCUUUCUCCAUACAGAGUCAGCUUGGGUAGCCUGGGCACCACUACCUACCACGCCACAGAUGGCGCAGAUGCCCUGUACUUCUGUUCAUGUACCUCAUUCAUCCCCCAACUGUAUGUGCCUCCCCCUCCCCUCUGUGCAGCAGGCUAGCCUGGAGUCGAGGGAAAGACAGAAUGAUAUAGCUCUUUGGCUGUUACAAGUUGGGAGGGUCAGGAGAGAGUUGACUGGGCUCAAUGCUGGCAUUCCUCGGCUUUCUUGAGAGUAGCAGGUGGAGGGCGGAAGUGGCAAAGGAGGAUUUAGGAAUUAUAUUUUCCCAGGGACCUCUUAGCAUCUUUAUAUAUCUCUGGUGUCAGACAUCUGUCUGAGCUUAGGGUAGCAUCUGUCUGGGCUGGAGACAACAUCUGUUUGAGGCUGGGACACCUGGCUGAGCCCAGAAUAUUAUCUGGCCCCAGGACAGCUUUUGUCUGGGCCCAGGACAUGUGUCUGAACCUGGCAUGGCAUCUGUCUGGGCCUGGUGCAACAUCUUCCUGGCCUGGGGGCAAUGUCUGUUUGAGCUCUGGACAUCUGUCCGACCUGGGGUUGUCUGCUGAGCCCAGAACAAUACCUGUCUGAGCCUGGGGGUGGACUUGUCAUGGCAGAUAAAAUCACCCUCGAGUCUCAGCUUUGGUUUGUGGCUGAGAACAGAGUACAUGCCAGACCCACGUCCCUGCUCUCAUUUCUACCAGGGAAGGGCUCUUCUGUAGAGUGCCUCAGUUUACCUCCUUCUGUAGGCCCAUUGGCCUGCUUGCUCUGGACACCUCAAGGGACAGCCAAAGCCUACAUCCCAGGGACUCCAGGAAAGCGAAGUUAAAAGAAUAAGGGAGUGGAUAGGUUAUAAAAUCUAAGACUGGUCUAGGACCGUUCUUCCUUCCUCCCGUCCCUUCGUUGAAUCAAAUCAGAGUGCUCCCCCAAGAUACAACUCGGACAUGUCACUUGCCUCCUGAGAAGCCUUCCCUUGCUCCCAAUUGUAUAUAUUAUCAGGCCCAAAAUCCCCUCUGGUCCUGCCCCUGCCUCUGCUCUGAACCAGCAGCACGGAGCUUCUUUCCCACAAACACACUGGGACCUAAUGAUUCCCUACCUUUGUGCACUCAGCUCCCUCUCCUUGGAAUGUCUUUCUCUCCCACACCCCUCCACCCCCAUCCUCCCAUCACAUCCUUCAAGUCCUAGUUCAAGGGUUACCCACUCUGGGAAUUUUUUUUACUCCUUCUCUAGACUUAGCCACGACCUCUGCCCUGCUUCCACAAUGUAUUGUGAAGACCACCUCCGUGUUAGCAUUUGUGGGCCUGCACUGUCAUUGCCCUUUGUAUAUCUGUCUCUCCCAUGGGACUGUGCGCUCCUGGGGGUAGCUGGCUCUGGUUCAUCUUUGUCUCCCCAGCACCCAGCCCAAUUCCUGGUCUACGGUGGUACCAGUAAGAAAGGCCUGUUGGAUGAUCACAUGGCUGUACCUCUGUCAUCUCAUUUCCAUCUCAUUUCAUUCUCUGUCUGCAACCAGGAUGAAGACAUAUAGGAUCCAAAGAUUUGGUACAUAUGCUCCUGACAGGAGCAGGAAAGAGAAGUGAUGCUCGGAGAGCAGUGACGAAUCCAGACCUAAUGGCCUCUCUGUGGGCUCCGGGGAUGGGACCACAUCUAAGAAAGAAGACCUUUACCUGGGUCCAGGCCCAUUCCCUGAGGGCAGGUGGGAGAAUGGAGACCUGGCCUAGCUUGUUGGAGAAGUUUCAGAGUUCCUGGACUUACUGGUCCUGCCAGAGAGGAAAAGUCACAUAAGGUGUUGUUAAUAUAAACACCGUGCCCAGAGCAAAC
This is a long non-coding RNA of Aethalodelphis obliquidens (Pacific white-sided dolphin), 5971 nucleotides long. RefSeq lists it as uncharacterized. NCBI's taxonomy places the organism in Eukaryota, Metazoa, Chordata, Mammalia, Artiodactyla, Delphinidae. The record is from RefSeq and is a predicted model, not a curated record. The transcript is spliced from 2 exons.